UUGCUUGUUUUGAAGUCAAAGUGAUACAUGUGUUGGACGCAAGAGCCAAGCUGCUACGCGCCCUAACCCAGAACAACAACAACGUGAUACAUGUGGGAUAAAUAGGUCCUACAUAAGUUUUUCAGGCAUUGGCCUGAUGGUCUUUUUGUCCGAUCUCUGACCAUAUCUUACCUGGCUCUGGAUCCUCGGAACAAGGUCUGCAUAAUGUCUGCUAGUUUGAGCCGCUGUCUCAUGGCAGCUGUUCAGCUUCACCUUCAGCACAGGGCCCUCAGACUGUUGUCAUGUGCUGGAUCAAGCCAGUCAAAUUUGCUAGCUAAAUAUGGUUCUUAUACCAAUUGGUCAUGGAGAAGGUGGAAGACUACCAAUUCUAAAAUUCCUCAGAAGUCUGGAGGACCAGCAGAUGAGUCCAAAUCAGAGCUUCCCCACGUGAACGUGGGCACCAUCGGUCACGUAGACCACGGCAAGACGACGCUGACAGCGGCCAUUACACGUGUGCUGGGCGCGCACCAGCAGAGUGAGUACGUGCCGUUCGACCAGAUCGACCGCGCGCCGGAGGAGCGACGGCGGGGUGUCACCAUCAACGCGGCACACGUGCAGUACAGCAGCGGACGCCGCCACUACGCGCACACAGACUGCCCCGGACACGCCGACUAUGUGAAAAACAUGAUCUGUGGCACGUCUCAGAUGGAUGGCGCCAUCCUUGUGGUGGCUGCCAACGAUGGUCAGAUGCCGCAGACACGCGAACAUCUUCUGCUGGCGCGGCAGAUCGGUGUUGACAAGAUCGUCGUGUUUGUCAACAAAGCGGAUCUGGUGGACGAGGAGGUGCUGGAGCUGGUCGAGCUUGAGAUGCGCGAGCUGCUCGAUAAUUUCGGGUUUGACGGCUCAACCACGCCGUUUGUGAUCGGCUCGGCGCUGCAGGCGCUGAACGGCGGUGACGGGGAGCUCGGCGAACCCUCCAUUUGGCGGCUGGUGGAGGCCCUGGACGAGCACGUGCCUAUACCGGAGCGAGACCGAGCCGCGCCGUUCCUUAUGCCCGUCGAGAGUGGGUUCACCGUGCCCGGCCGCGGCACUGUGGUGGUCGGCACGCUCAAACAGGGCGUCCUGAAGCGACGCGUGGACGCCGAGCUGGUCGGUUUCGACACUCGCAUCAAGACGGUCGCCACCGAUAUCCAGGUGUUCAAGAAGUCGGUGCCGCAGAUCGAAGCCGGCGAGCACGCAGGUGUACUCCUGCGGGGAGUCCCCGUGUCUGCAGUGAAGCGUGGUAUGUCUCUGACGCCUCCCGGGGCGUUCGACACGUCUAACGUGCUGUGGGCUCGACUCUACCUCCUGGAGCGCAGCGAGGGCGGCCGUAGCAAACCCAUCACGUCCAGCUACGUACAGCAGCUGUUCUGCGAGACGUGGACGGUCGGCUGCCGGGUGAUGCUACCUCCCGGGACGGAGAUGAUGCUGCCCGGAGACGCCGGCCGGGUCAGUCUGCUGCUGCCGCGGCAGAUGCUGGCGAGGCGCGGUCACCAUUUCACACUCCGCGAGAACGGAGUCACCGUGGCGACUGGCGUGAUCACGGGCGUGAGGCCACCAGUGCGGGUGCUUGGCGUGGACAAAUUGAUAGAGGUGACGCCGGAGCAGAUUGACUUUGAGCCAGAUGAUUCGGCACCCGUCAGCUGAGUUAGAGAGUGGUGUGUGCGGUGUGGGAUGAGUGGAAAAAAUACGCAUGGGGCGACAUCUGUUCCAGCAAUGGUGGUGCCACCUAGUUACUUUGACAUGGUGUGUGGGUAGUAGCCCAAGACCGCAUUGUGGACAAGAAAAGAACAGAUGAAUGAAUAAGUGAAUAUCCAUGCUGCCGGUGACAAGGAUAGAGUUAUUGAUGUGUGAGUCUUUUAUGAAUCACCCGAUAUUGAGCCGUUUUGAUGGAUGUGUGCCGAAUUGUUCUUGUCAAUGAUGUUUUUUUUUGUGGCUGUAAGACCGUAUCUGUCGAUCUUGGUCCCUUUCGAGGUAUAAUAUAUUAAUUGGGAACGGUUG
RNAcentral lists this unclassified non-coding RNA (2019 nucleotides) under Amphibalanus amphitrite. Its description in RNAcentral is "elongation factor Tu, mitochondrial-like, transcript variant X1". Lineage: Eukaryota; Metazoa; Arthropoda; Thecostraca; Balanomorpha; Balanidae. The record is from RNAcentral.